CCCUUGAAAAUGGAGGAAAUAAUCCCAACUACACAAAUUUGCAAAAGUCAAAUCAUACUCCAGUAACCCAACAGCUUUUCACAAUGAGAUGACUGGCUCAGUGAAUGGAGAGCAGUGGAUGCUGUUUAUUUUGCAAGGCUCUUGACAUAGUCUCCUGUAACACCCUCAAGACAAAAUGUUGAAGUACAGAUUAGAUAAGUGGACAGUGAGAUGGACUGAAAACUGGCUGAACUGCUGAGCUUAGAGGGUGAAGAUCAGCAGCUCGAAGUCCAGCUGGAGGCCAGUUGCCACUGGGGUUGAUACUGGGCCAGUACUGUUAAUUCUCUUCAUCUGGAAAAUGGGACCAAAUGCACCCUCAGCAUGUUUGCAGAUGAUAAAGAACUGGGAGUGAUGCAAGAGCUAUGAUGUCCUUGUGGCAGAGGUGGCCAGCAGCCUCCUGGGCUGCAUCAGGCUGAGUGUUGCCAGCAGGUCAGGGCAGGUGACUCUGUCCCUCUGUUCAACCCUGGCGAGACACCUCUGGAGUGCCGUGCUCAGCUCUGGGCUCCCCAGUGCAAGACAGACAUGGACCUGCUGGAAGAAGUCCUAGAAAAAGGAGGGGAGAGGGGAGUAAGGAAGAUGGGCCAGAAAUUUCCCAUGGUGGUGCCCAGUGACACCACCAGACAGGUGACCAGGCACCAGCAUCUUGCUUCCAUCACUUCUCUCUGACAGUGUUUAAGCCCUACUGAACAGCAGCCCAUGGAAGGCAAUGAGUGGGCAGAUUAUCUACUAAAACAGUUUGGUGCUGGAUGAGAUUGCUUCUGGGAUGCUUCUGUAGCUUUUGGCUCUGGCUAAAUAGCAAGAGAGCUCCCAAUAGCAGGAGUCAUAUGACAUGCUCUUGUGCACUUGUGAAUGGAAAAUCAUAUGUCUUCACAAGUCACAGGAAUAUAAAGACCAGAUGUGAUGUUCUGAGCUCCCACAUAUUCACAUGAGAAUGGGCCAAGGCUAGCAAAGAAAUAUGAAAGGAGAAUUAUCUGCACUAUGUGUUUUACUUUGCUUUAAUACUGAAUGUAAGUGGAGAAGGGAAAAAAUAUAAAUAAAAGAGAAU
Molecule: long non-coding RNA, 1084 nt
Organism: Parus major (Great Tit)
Lineage: Eukaryota; Metazoa; Chordata; Aves; Passeriformes; Paridae
Exons: 4
Source: RefSeq, a predicted model, not a curated record